UAGCAUAUCAAUAAGCGGAGGAAAAGAAACCAACAGGGAUUGCCCUAGUAACGGCGAGUGAAGCGGCAACAGCUCAAAUUUGAAAUCUGGCUCUUUUAGAGUCCGAGUUGUAAUUUGCAGAGGGCGCUUUGGCUUUGGCAGCGGUCCAAGUUCCUUGGAACAGGACGUCACAGAGGGUGAGAAUCCCGUACGUGGUCGCUGGCUAUUGCCGUGUAAAGCCCCUUCGACGAGUCGAGUUGUUUGGGAAUGCAGCUCUAAAUGGGAGGUACAUUUCUUCUAAAGCUAAAUAUUGGCCAGAGACCGAUAGCGCACAAGUAGAGUGAUCGAAAGAUGAAAAGCACUUUGGAAAGAGAGUCAAACAGCACGUGAAAUUGUUGAAAGGGAAGCGCUUGCAGCCAGACUUGCUUACAGUUGCUCAUCCGGGUUUCUACCCGGUGCACUCUUCUGUAGGCAGGCCAGCAUCAGUUUGGGCGGUAGGAUAAAGGUCUCUGUCACGUACCUCCUUUCGGGGAGGCCUUAUAGGGGAGACGACAUACUACCAGCCUGGACUGAGGUCCGCGCAUCUGCUAGGAUGCUGGCGUAAUGGCUGUAAGCGGCCCGUCUUGAAACACGGACCAAGGAGUCUAACAUCUAUGCGAGUGUUUGGGUGUCAAGCCCGAGCGCGUAAUGAAAGUGAACGGAGGUGGGAACCCGCAAGGGUGCACCAUCGACCGAUCCUGAUGUCUUCGGAAGGAUUUGAGUAAGAGCAUGGCUGUUGGGACCCGAAAGAUGGUGAACUAUGCUUGAAUAGGGUGAAGCCAGAGGAAACUCUGGUGGAGGCUCGCAGCGGUUCUGACGUGCAAAUCGAUCGUCAAAUUUGGGCAUAGGGGCGAAAGACUAAUCGAACUAUCUAGUAGCUGGUUCCUGCG
This 908-nucleotide ribosomal RNA is filed under the name Alternaria alternata. Its description in RNAcentral is "LSU rRNA". It matches the Rfam family "Eukaryotic large subunit ribosomal RNA", at positions 36 to 962 of the family's 3401-position model. The record is from RNAcentral. Lineage: Eukaryota; Fungi; Ascomycota; Dothideomycetes; Pleosporales; Pleosporaceae.